AUUGAACGCUGGCGGCAUGCCUUACACAUGCAAGUCAACGGCAGCACGGGAGCAAUCCUGGUGGCGAGUGGCGAACGGGUGAGUAAUAUAUCGGAACGUGCCCAGUCGUGGGGGAUAACGUAGCGAAAGCUACGCUAAUACCGCAUACGAUCUAUGGAUGAAANCGGGGGAUCGCAAGACCUCGCGCGAUUGGAGCGGCCGAUAUCAGAUUAGGUAGUUGGUGAGGUAAAGGCUCACCAAGCCGACGAUCUGUAGCUGGUCUGAGAGGACGACCAGCCACACUGGGACUGAGACACGGCCCAGACUCCUACGGGAGGCAGCAGUGGGGAAUUUUGGACAAUGGGCGCAAGCCUGAUCCAGCAGUGCCGCGUGCAGGAUGAAGGCCUUCGGGUUGUAAACUGCUUUUGUACGGAACGAAACGGUGAGCUCUAAUACAGUUUGCUAAUGACGGUACCGUAAGAAUAAGCACCGGCUAACUACGUG
This 483-nucleotide ribosomal RNA is filed under the name uncultured bacterium. RNAcentral's name for it is "bacterial SSU rRNA". It matches the Rfam family "Bacterial small subunit ribosomal RNA", at positions 30 to 507 of the family's 1533-position model. The record is from RNAcentral.